UACGGGGGGGGCAAGCGUUGUUCGGAAUUACUGGGCGUAAAGGGCUCGUAGGCGGCCAACUAAGCCAGACGUGAAAUCCCCAGGCUCAACCUGGGAACUGCGUCUGAUACUGGAUGGCUUGAAUCCGGGAGAGGGAUGCAGAAUUCCAGGUGUAGCGGUGAAAUGCGCAGAUAUCAGGAGGAACACCAAUGGCGAAGGCAGCUCGCUGGGACGUGACUGACGCUGAGACGCGAAAGCGUGGGGAGCAAACAGG
RNAcentral lists this ribosomal RNA (253 nucleotides) under uncultured bacterium. Its description in RNAcentral is "partial 16S ribosomal RNA". It matches the Rfam family "Bacterial small subunit ribosomal RNA", at positions 524 to 776 of the family's 1533-position model. The record is from RNAcentral.